This 301-nucleotide ribosomal RNA is filed under the name uncultured bacterium. RNAcentral's name for it is "partial 16S ribosomal RNA". It matches the Rfam family "Bacterial small subunit ribosomal RNA", at positions 509 to 807 of the family's 1533-position model. The record is from RNAcentral.
CAGCAGCCGCGGGAAUACGAGGGGGGCAAGCGUUGUUCGGAAUUACUGGGCGUAAAGGGAGCGUAGGCGGAUCGUUUAGUUGGGGGUGAAAUCCCGGGGCUCAACCUCGGAACUGCCUUCAAUACUGGCGAUCUUGAGUAUGGGAGAGGUGUGUGGAACUCCGAGUGUAGAGGUGAAAUUCGUAGAUAUUCGGAAGAACACCAGUGGCGAAGGCGACACACUGGCCCAUUACUGACGCUGAGGCUCGAAAGCGUGGGGAGCAAACAGGAUUAGAUACCCGUGUAGUCCCUGUCUCUUAUAC